Molecule: long non-coding RNA, 813 nt
Organism: Wasmannia auropunctata (little fire ant)
Lineage: Eukaryota; Metazoa; Arthropoda; Insecta; Hymenoptera; Formicidae
Exons: 2
Source: RefSeq, a predicted model, not a curated record
AUUUACAACUAAUUUUCACACUUUUAUUUUAAGCUAAAGAAAGCGACUGGAUAAACUGAUUUCAACUGGACAAAUAAAAUUGAAUACAGUUAAUAUUGACCGACUGUUUACGAAGCAAAAACGGUUCAAGGUAUGUGCACGUGCGAAUGGGCCGAUCGAUGAACGCAACUCCAGUUUGCCUCUUCAUUCAUCCCACCUUCGACCACCCACGAACUGCAACACCGGCAUUCCCGAUGGCGCACACGGGGCCGCCCACAUGAAGCGGGAACUUUUACCGGAGAACGAAAGCGACGUAAAGCCCCGGCCAGAUUGGUUUACUUCGGAAGGCCACUUCGCUCCGGAUUCUCGUUCGACGUGCCGGAUCUACAGGAUCGAAAAUCUCCCGUGUUUCGCUCGCGCGAGGAGGAAUCCCUGCUCCUUUCUUUCCGCGCUCCUUCUCGCGCGUCCAUCCCAAAGAUCCCCUCGUUACCCGGACUUCGUCAAGAGCGCCGGAAUUACAACACUUGUGAGGAUGGGCGUGACAUUGUCUGGAGGGUCACGCUUGGCGCGCUGCCAAGAAAUUGUGCAUCGCGGGGACGCCGACACGCGAACGCUUCCUUCCAGGUCAAGAAGAAUAUCUAUUUUAUAGGUUGGCCAAGUUGGCAGAUGACAUAAAUAAUGGAAGCGGGAGUCGCGAUUGAACGUGGAAUGCAUAAUAAGUUCAACAACCGCGGCGAGUUGACAACUUAGCGUCUAUCGUAAAAAGAUCAUGAAAAAGGGUAUUACGGAAUAUCACGCUUUGUGCAAAAAUAAAAAGAGAUUUAUGUCUGAGAA